UGGGGAAUAUUGGACAAUGGGCGCAAGCCUGAUCCAGCCAUGCCGCGUGGAUGAUGAAGGCCCUAGGGUUGUAAAGUCCUUUUAACGGGGAAGAUAAUGACGGUACCCGUAGAAUAAGCCCCGGCUAACUUCGUGCCAGCAGCCGCGGUAAUACGAAGGGGGCUAGCGUUGCUCGGAAUUACUGGGCGUAAAGCGCACGUAGGCGGCUUUCUAAGUCGGGGGUGAAAUCCUGGAGCUCAACUCCAGAACUGCCUUCGAUACUGGAGAGCUCGAGUUCGGGAGAGGUGAGUGGAACUGCGAGUGUAGAGGUGAAAUUCGUAGAUAUUCGCAAGAACACCAGUGGCGAAGGCGGCUCACUGGCCCGAUACUGACGCUGAGGUGCGAAAGCGUGGGGAGCAAACA
RNAcentral lists this ribosomal RNA (402 nucleotides) under uncultured Pseudolabrys sp. RNAcentral's name for it is "bacterial SSU rRNA". It matches the Rfam family "Bacterial small subunit ribosomal RNA", at positions 355 to 774 of the family's 1533-position model. The record is from RNAcentral. Lineage: Bacteria; Pseudomonadati; Pseudomonadota; Alphaproteobacteria; Hyphomicrobiales; Xanthobacteraceae.